Molecule: ribosomal RNA, 500 nt
Filed under: uncultured bacterium
Lineage: Bacteria
Description: partial 16S ribosomal RNA
Rfam family: Bacterial small subunit ribosomal RNA
Source: RNAcentral
AUUGAACGCUGGCGGCAUGCCUUACACAUGCAAGUCGAACGGCAGCGCGGGAGCAAUCCUGGCGGCGAGUGGCGAACGGGUGAGUAAUAUAUCGGAACGUGCCCUGGAGUGGGGGAUAACCAGUCGAAAGACUGGCUAAUACCGCAUACGAUCUACGGAUGAAAGUGGGGGAUCGCAAGACCUCAUGCUCGUGGAGCGGCCGAUAUCUGAUUAGCUGGUUGGUGGGGUAAAAGCUCACCAAGGCGACGAUCAGUAGCUGGUCUGAGAGGACGACCAGCCACACUGGGACUGAGACACGGCCCAGACUCCUACGGGAGGCAGCAGUGGGGAAUUUUGGACAAUGGGCGCAAGCCUGAUCCAGCAAUGCCGCGUGCAGGAAGAAGGCCUUCGGGUUGUAAACUGCUUUUGUCAGGGAAGAAAUCUUCUGGGUUAAUACCUCGGGAGGAUGACGGUACCUGAAGAAUAAGCACCGGCUAACUACGUGCCAGCAGCCGCCGCGG